This 462-nucleotide ribosomal RNA is filed under the name uncultured bacterium. Its description in RNAcentral is "partial 16S ribosomal RNA". It matches the Rfam family "Bacterial small subunit ribosomal RNA", at positions 28 to 507 of the family's 1533-position model. The record is from RNAcentral.
GACGAACGCUGGCGGCGUGCUUAACACAUGCAAGUCGAACGGUAAGGCCUUUCGGGGUACACGAGUGGCGAACGGGAGAGUAACACGUGGGUGAUCUGCCCUGCACUUCGGGAUAAGCCCGGGAAACUGGGUCUAAUACCGGAUAGGACUGCGCGGUGCAUGCCGUGUGGUGGAAAGAUUUAUCGGUGCAGGAUGGGCCCGCGGCCUAUCAGCUUGUUGGUGGGGUAAUGGCCUACCAAGGCGACGACGGGUAGCCGGCCUGAGAGGGCGACCGGCCACACUGGGACUGAGACACGGCCCAGACUCCUACGGGAGGCAGCAGUGGGGAAUAUUGCACAAUGGGCGCAAGCCUGAUGCAGCGACGCCGCGUGAGGGAUGACGGCCUUCGGGUUGUAAACCUCUUUCAGCAGGGACGAAGCGUGAGUGACGGUACCUGCAGAAGAAGCACCGGCCAACUACGUG